RNAcentral lists this ribosomal RNA (419 nucleotides) under uncultured bacterium. Its description in RNAcentral is "partial 16S ribosomal RNA". It matches the Rfam family "Bacterial small subunit ribosomal RNA", at positions 360 to 771 of the family's 1533-position model. The record is from RNAcentral.
AAUAUUGGACAAUGGGGGCAACCCGGAUCCAGCCAGGCCGCGUGGGUGAAGAAGGUCUUGGGAUUGUAAUGCAUGUUAACUUGGGAGGAAGGGCUUUAGGUGAAUACCCUGAAGUUUUGACGUUACCAACAGAAUAAGCAACGGAUAACUCUGUGCCAGCAGCCGCGGUAAUACAGAGGGUGCAAGCGUUAAUCGGAAUUAUUGGGCGUAAAGCGCGCGUAGGUGGUUCGGUAAGAUGGGUGUGAAAUCCCCGGGCUUAACCUGGGAACUGCUUUCACAACUGCUGAGCUAGAGUACGGUAGAGGGUAGUGGAAUUUCCUGUGUAGCGGUGAAAUGCGUAGAUAUAGGAAGGAACACCAGUGGCGAAGGCGACUACCUGGACUGAUACUGACACUGAGGUGCGAAAGCGUGGGGAGCAA